RNAcentral lists this ribosomal RNA (440 nucleotides) under uncultured bacterium. RNAcentral's name for it is "partial 16S ribosomal RNA". It matches the Rfam family "Bacterial small subunit ribosomal RNA", at positions 338 to 795 of the family's 1533-position model. The record is from RNAcentral.
CCUACGGGUGGCAGCAGUAGGGAAUCUUUCACAAUGGGCGAAAGCCUGAUGGAGCAACGCCGCGUGCAGGAUGAAGGCCUUCGGGUCGUAAACUGCUUUUGUGAGAGAAGAUAAUGACGGUAUCUCACGAAUAAGCACCGGCUAACUACGUGCCAGCAGCCGCGGUAAUACGGAGGGUGCAAGCGUUACUCGGAAUCACUGGGCGUAAAGAGUGCGCAGGCGGGCUUGUAAGUCAGAUGUGAAAUCCUGUAGCUUAACUACAGAACUGCAUUUGAAACUAUGAGUCUAGAGUGUGGGAGAGGUAGGUGGAAUUCUUGGUGUAGGGGUAAAAUCCGUAGAUAUCAAGAGGAAUACUCAUUGCGAAGGCGACCUACUGGAACAUUACUGACGCUCAUGCACGAAAGCGUGGGGAGCAAACAGGAUUAGAUACCCCUGUAGUC